AAUGAACGCUAGCGGCAGGCUUAACACAUGCAAGUCGAGGGGUAUAGUUCUUCGGAACUAGAGACCGGCGCACGGGUGCGUAACGCGUAUGCAAUCUACCUUUUGCAGAGGGAUAGCCCAGAGAAAUUUGGAUUAAUACCUCAUAGUAUGUGAGAAUGGCAUCAUUUUCACAUUAAAGUCACAACGGCAAAAGAUGAGCAUGCGUCCCAUUAGCUUGUUGGUAAGGUAACGGCUUACCAAGGCAACGAUGGGUAGGGGUCCUGAGAGGGAGAUCCCCCACACUGGUACUGAGACACGGACCAGACUCCUACGGGAGGCAGCAGUGAGGAAUAUUGGACAAUGGGCGCAAGCCUGAUCCAGCCAUGCCGCGUGCAGGAUGACGGUCCUAUGGAUUGUAAACUGCUUUUGUACAGGAAGAAACACUGGUUCGUGAACCAGCUUGACGGUACUGUAAGAAUAAGGAUCGGCUAACUCCGUGCCAGCAGCCGACC
RNAcentral lists this ribosomal RNA (491 nucleotides) under uncultured bacterium. Its description in RNAcentral is "bacterial SSU rRNA". It matches the Rfam family "Bacterial small subunit ribosomal RNA", at positions 29 to 519 of the family's 1533-position model. The record is from RNAcentral.